CAGAGAGAGAGAGAGAGAGAAAGAUGGAGCGCCGACUGCUUUCCGGUGAGCCCUCCGUCAAACCCAAUUAGCCUCCGCGGCAGCAACACCACGACCACAUGAUGCUUCCUUCAAAAGAGAUAAAGAGAGAAACAUAGAGUGUGGUAUAAGAGAGAGAUAGAGACGGUGACUUUGACAGUUCGGCUUAGGGUUCCGACGAACUCCUUUUGAUGGUAAAUCUGUGCAUAUGUAAGCUGGAGAAGUUGGAGGGUGAAUCCAGUGAUGGCAGAUUAGAAGAAGAGGAGAAGUCAGGAGCAACUUCUGCCUUCCAUCAACAAAAAACGGAAAUUGCCGUCCUGCACACCAGUUGUUUGACUUAAUGCUCAGUUGAGGUUGCUAAAUCCAAGGCAUUCUCAAUAAAAGUUUGGUUCCUUGAUUCGUGUGUCAAGAUAACUCCAGCAAGAAUCGAGCAUAUACAAAUGCCCAGCCUGUACCAACAAGCGAGCGCGCCCUUGAUUGAAUUGUAAGACCGGUAAGCCAAGGAAGAAUGUUUUUAUGUCAUUUCAUUCAACUAAUUGUAGUCGUCAUGGGACAAAAAAAAUCGUAUUUCUAGGGUUUAAAUGUGCAUUCUUUGUUAUAAUGGAAGUUUGCAUUCUAUCAGUUUGUUAAAUAACUUAAA
Molecule: long non-coding RNA, 658 nt
Organism: Helianthus annuus (common sunflower)
Lineage: Eukaryota; Viridiplantae; Streptophyta; Magnoliopsida; Asterales; Asteraceae
Exons: 4
Source: RefSeq, a predicted model, not a curated record